AUUGAACGCUGGCGGAAUGCUUUACACAUGCAAGUCGAACGGUAGAGGGGGCAACCCCUUGAGAGUGGCGAACGGGUGAGUAAUAUAUCGGAACGUGCCCAGUCGUGGGGAUAACGUAGCGAAAGUUACGCUAAUACCGCAUACGAUCUAAGGAUGAAAGCGGGGGAUCGCAAGACCUCGCGCGAUUGGAGCGGCCGAUAUCAGAUUAGGUAGUUGGUGAGGUAAAGGCUCACCAAGCCAACGAUCUGUAGCUGGUCUGAGAGGACGACCAGCCACACUGGAACUGAGACACGGCCCAGACUCCUACGGGAGGCAGCAGUGGGGAAUUUUUGGGACAAUGGGCGCAAGCCUGAUCCAGCAAUGCCGCGUGCAGGAUGAAGGCC
This 383-nucleotide ribosomal RNA is filed under the name uncultured bacterium. RNAcentral describes it as "bacterial SSU rRNA". It matches the Rfam family "Bacterial small subunit ribosomal RNA", at positions 30 to 416 of the family's 1533-position model. The record is from RNAcentral.